RNAcentral lists this long non-coding RNA (317 nucleotides) under Helianthus annuus (common sunflower). Its description in RNAcentral is "hypothetical non coding rna". Lineage: Eukaryota; Viridiplantae; Streptophyta; Magnoliopsida; Asterales; Asteraceae. The record is from RNAcentral.
CACACACACGUACGUGUGUUCGAGAAGGAGCCAGGAACUCCUUGAAGGUUCAUAAACCCUAAUCAUGAAGAUCACCAAAUUGAGGGGUUAAUUGUAGCUCAAAUUCAAGAAGGAACAUGGACUAAUGAUCACCUAAGUAUUUCCUACAUCAAAAUUGGAAUCACACGAGCAUGGGCCAAGCACGAAGGCUAACGGGUCAAGAUGAGGCAAGGAAGCGGUUACAAGCACGGAUGCACAAGUUAUGUGCAACUUAAACUAAGUAUGAUAAUUGAGGUCAUAUAGGAAUGAAUGGUAUGAUAUCGAUGAAGUGUUAAACG